UUUGUUUUUAAAAUAAUCUGGUUAAAUAAAAUUAGAUGAAAUAUAAAUUCGCGAGUAGAGUCAGUGUUGGUACAUAUUCGUCAUGAUCCUGGGAUAGGAAGGUCAUCGUGCAAAAGAUCAACAAAGACUUGUUCAAUAAAAGAAGAAUCAUUUGUCAUCGUUCUGAGGCUGGAUGCUCAUCGUGCAAACGAUCAGCAAAGACUACAAUAAUCGAUGCAAUCAUGCGGUGUUUUGGAACUAUCGCAGAACUUCUUAAGUAAUAAUCAUUGCUUCUCAAGUCAAUUUCGAUCUACAUCGCAAAUGAGUAUUUUGGAACCACCAUAAAACUUCUUAAGUAGUAAGUGAACAUAUUCAAGUCGCUUUAGUAUUCCUUAUUGUAGUUGGGUUUAGGCCAAAGUAUAUAGAAAACUACAAAUGCUUUUUCUCUAUUAUCUCUCGUGAUAUACAAACUUACUCUCGUUCAUUUGCUUGACGUUCGAUGCUCGGUAAAACUGAAUUACUCUGCUCUGCUUUAAUUUACCUUACGCAUUUUAUAAUAUUUAAAUUUACAAUAUACGAUACAAAAUAUUGAAAUGU
This is a long non-coding RNA of Vespa crabro (European hornet), 576 nucleotides long. RefSeq lists it as uncharacterized. The transcript is spliced from 4 exons. NCBI's taxonomy places the organism in Eukaryota, Metazoa, Arthropoda, Insecta, Hymenoptera, Vespidae. The record is from RefSeq and is a predicted model, not a curated record.